This 67-nucleotide transfer RNA is filed under the name Cerylon histeroides. RNAcentral describes it as "tRNA-Val". Lineage: Eukaryota; Metazoa; Arthropoda; Insecta; Coleoptera; Cerylonidae. The record is from RNAcentral.
CAAACUAGAGCUUGGUUAAAGUUUUUUAGUUACAUUAAAAAGAUAAUUUGUUUAAAAUUUAGUUUGA